AAGUCGUAACAAGGUUUCCGUAGGUGAACCUGCGGAAGGAUCAUUAUUGAAUAUUCUUGAUGAGUUGUAGCUGGCUCUCCGGGGCAUGUGCACGCUUGUCUUGACUCUAUUCAUCCACCUGUGCACCUUUUGUAGUCUUGGGGGUUGAAAGCAGUCGACUAUCGGAUGGCUACGGCUACUCCGGAUGUGAGAAAUGCUGAGCGCAGAGACGCACACAGCUCUUCUCAAAUGACUUGCAUACCCUUGAGUACUAUGUAUUCAUAUACCACGUCGUAUGUUGCAGAAUGUGAUCAAUGGGUCUAUGUACCUAUAAUAAUCAUAUACAACUUUCAGCAACGGAUCUCUUGGCUCUC
The sequence is an unclassified non-coding RNA, 353 nucleotides long. The stretch from base 1 to 46 matches the Rfam family "Eukaryotic small subunit ribosomal RNA", at positions 1786 to 1831 of the family's 1831-position model.